AUAAAGCUAAGAAUCUCUGAAAAAUCUGUUCCUGAGUGAUUUAUCUGAUACAUGUACAUUUUCAUAGGUUGGCUUUGGGGGAAACACCACACAGGCGUGGUGAAGAGUCUGAUGUGGAAAAGGGGAAAUGUCAGUCAUGACUCAUGUUUUACAGAUGCCUUCAAAAAUUCCAGAAGCAUCUUGAGCUUCUCCUCAUCUUGUCCCAACAUGACCCCUUAACUUCUCUCCUAGGGAAUGGGAAUAAAAUUUGUUGUGAUAGGAGAUGUGG
This 268-nucleotide long non-coding RNA is filed under the name Bos taurus (domestic cattle). Its description in RNAcentral is "long non-coding RNA NONBTAT004135". Lineage: Eukaryota; Metazoa; Chordata; Mammalia; Artiodactyla; Bovidae. The record is from RNAcentral.